Cimex lectularius (bed bug) is the source of this 460-nucleotide long non-coding RNA. RefSeq lists it as uncharacterized. The record is from RefSeq and is a predicted model, not a curated record. The transcript is spliced from 2 exons. NCBI's taxonomy places the organism in Eukaryota, Metazoa, Arthropoda, Insecta, Hemiptera, Cimicidae.
AUAAACAUUUUUUAUUCACUUUUACAUAAAUUCAAGGCCAAGAAAUGGACACAACUACAUUAGAUGAUGAAAUAAUCUCGGUUAAUGGAAUUUAUUUGCUGUUCACGUUUGUGUGUUGUUUGUGUACAUGUGUGUACACUUUCAGAAGGAGAAUGGAUGAAGAACCAUUCGGAGACCAAAGCAGAGAAAGGGAGCCUUUGCCAACCAUAUCGGAAUGCUUCCAUACAGAUUUAGUAGGCUUGAUAUUUAUCUUGUCGAUCCCUUGUGCUUUAAUACUGUUAAAUCAAGAUUCUACCGAAGACGAUUAGUGUUCAAAUGUGUGCACCGAAGACAAAAAUAAACCACAUUUUAGUUGAAAUACUGACAACCAAAAAGUAUAACUGUAUUAUUUUUGUAAAAGUUGUUUGUGAAUUUUAAUAACAUGAAAUAAAACAGUGAAGCUGAAACUUUGACAACUGAA